This 327-nucleotide unclassified non-coding RNA is filed under the name soil metagenome. RNAcentral describes it as "partial contains 5.8S ribosomal RNA, internal transcribed spacer 2, and large subunit ribosomal RNA". The stretch from base 1 to 120 matches the Rfam family "5.8S ribosomal RNA", at positions 35 to 154 of the family's 154-position model. The record is from RNAcentral.
GAUGAAGAACGUAACGAAAUGCGAUAAGUAAUGUGAAUUGCAGAAUUCAGUGAAUCAUCGAAUCUUUGAACGCACAUUGCGCCCCUUGGUAUUCCGGGGGGCAUGCCUGUUCGAGCGUCAUUUCAACCCUCAAGCUCAGCUUGGUAUUGAGUCCAUGUCAGUAAUGGCAGGCUCUAAAAUCAGUGGCGGCGCCGCUGGGUCCUGAACGUAGUAAUAUCUCUCGUUACAGGUUCUCGGUGUGCUUCUGCCAAAACCCAAAUUUUCUAUGGUUGACCUCGGAUCAGGUAGGGAUACCCGCUGAACUUAAGCAUAUCAAUAAGCGGAGGA